GACGAACGCUGGCGGCGUGCUUAACACAUGCAAGUCGAGGGCGGUAGCAAUACCGACCGGCGAACGGGUGCGUAACACGUGAGCGACCUACCGAGAUGUGGGGGAUAGCCGGCCCAACGGCCGGGUAAUACCGCAUACGUUCUUCCUGUGGCAUCGCGGGAAGAAGAAACCCUUCGGGGGCUUUUUGAGGGGCUCGCGGCCUAUCAGCUAGUUGGCGGGGUAACGGCCCACCAAGGCGACGACGGGUAGCNGGUCUGAGAGGAUGGCCAGCCACAUUGGGACUGAGAAACGGCCCAGACUCCUACGGGAGGCAGCAGUGGGGAAUAUUGCGCAAUGGCCGAGAGGCUGACGCAGCGACGCCGCGUGUGGGAGGAAGCCCUUCGGGUGUAA
RNAcentral lists this ribosomal RNA (390 nucleotides) under uncultured bacterium. RNAcentral describes it as "bacterial SSU rRNA". It matches the Rfam family "Bacterial small subunit ribosomal RNA", at positions 28 to 428 of the family's 1533-position model. The record is from RNAcentral.